Prinia subflava (tawny-flanked prinia) is the source of this 2555-nucleotide long non-coding RNA. RefSeq lists it as uncharacterized. The transcript is spliced from 3 exons. The record is from RefSeq and is a predicted model, not a curated record. NCBI's taxonomy places the organism in Eukaryota, Metazoa, Chordata, Aves, Passeriformes, Cisticolidae.
CCGCGGCUCUCCCCGCCCGGCCGCCCCCGCGCAAUCCCCGCGCGUACCUGCGGCGGGCUGACCUUGGGCGGCGGCGCCGGAGCGACGGCGGCAGCUGCGGGCGGGGACAGCGCGGCCGCGGAAGGACAGGUAUUGAAAGGAGCGAACAAAGUUGAAGAAGGAUCUUUCAAUAGGCAGUCACCCCCCUGAGACACAUCUUGGCAAGAGAGAGCAUCACCUGCAGUAGCUGAGUCCUGGUGAGCUAAUCAGCAGGUUGAUUCCUGUGGGAAGAUGCCAGCACACACCCUGAGGAUGAGGAUAUCAGCAGCUGUGAGGUGAGGGACUUGGCACAAGGUCUGGAAGGGACCAGUGACACAGGAGAAGAAUUUCCAGUGGCUCAUUGUCUCCUUCUUCCCGUGUACAACCUGCACACCCAACAACUCACACACCUCAGGAUAUUUUUACCUGAAAACAAGUCCUCAGAUACCUUUCACCAUGAGAUCAUCAGAAAUAUAAUUUAGUUAUUGAUUCUGGACAAUAAACCUGAACAGAAUAAAGAGAAGUAAUCUCAGUGUUCUUUCUGAAUAUUUAAAAAUACUUUUUAAAGUGUACUUAGUAUAAACCUAUAAGUAACUUUAAUUUAUCAGUGGCUUUGUGAACAUCCGGAUAUACGUAAAAACAAUCCUGAAAAAUUACAAGAUAAAACUGUUUUCAGUUCUGAAGAAAUGCUUUUAAAGUAUUUUUUUUCCCCUAUGCCCUACUUCUCACACCUUUCUCAGGCAGAGUUAUUCAGGUUCUUCCCCAUGAAUCUUGCAUCUUAAAAGACAGAGAUGCAAUUGAUCUUUAUCACGUUCUUUUAAACACGAGGGGGCACCAGAAAGCCAGAGCAGCAAGAUAAAAACGGUUCCCGUACAAUAAAUCAGACAAAAAACCUGUUACAACUCUUGAUAGCCUUGUCAAGUGAGACAGAUUUUGAAGGAAAAAAAAAAAAAAGGAAAGCAAUGCAAUGUUUUAUCAGUCCUUCAUCUGAAAGGACUGGGAAAGUAAUCCCUGCCACAUGCAUCUUCUGCUGCCUCAUUUCUUUUACUAGUGAGAAUCUGGAUUAUUUCCCACUACAGAUGGUUCUUGAGGACGGUGGAAUCCUGUGUCCAUGGUUUUAUAAAGGAGGAAGCCAUUCUUGAAGCUAAAAGAUGCCAAAACCCCCCUAAAAUGCUAAGUUGAGACAAAGGACUGUUAGAUUUUUAAAUCCUUUUUCACAAGACCCAGGGUCAGGCACCGCCAUUCAUCCUCCUGCUGCUCCUCAUGGAAGGGAGCAGAAUCCAAAGGAAUGCCAGGUUUAGUGCAAUCCAUGAAAGCAAGGCUCCUCUGGGGCUUCAGGGAAUGGCUUUGGCAGAGUGUUUUUCUUUCUGACUUUUCCUCACUUUUCCUUUUUUUUUUUCUCCUCUUUGACUUCAGAUAUUGAAGGUUUCCUCCCCAGGAGUCUCCUGCUUUCUUAGGUGCACUCCUGUUCUUCCUGGAUUUUUUUAAUGUCCUUCUAACUCUCAAGACAAUUAUCCAUCCAGCCCUUCCCUCUUCCCAGCCUAAACAAACAUUGGUAGAACGAGUUUUCAAAGGAAUGAACACUGUCCAGGUCAACAUGAGUUCCCAAGGGAGACAUCCCUAACUGAGAGCUUGAUUAGGUGGAUUCCACAAAUCAGCAGAUAGAAAUCACAAAGAGGAAAUAAGUUGGUUUUUGUUUGUUUGUUUUUUUUUUUUUUUUUUGCAAGUGUUAACCUCUUUUAACUCAUUUAAAAUCCCAGGUGAGCCCUGCAUGGGGUUAAAAUGUCUUCUCUAUGUAGUCAGACCAUACAGAGGUCAAUUAUUCCAUCCAUGAGAUGAUGGUCCAGCUAUGAAGGUUUUGAGCUCCUGUGUUUCUCCUUGGGAAAAUGGUUCUACAGUGACACAGAUCUCAUAGUUAAGAUAUUCCUGAUAGCUGACUGUGUUUGGACCUGCACUGGGCUGCCUUUCCCAUUCUCUGUUUUCAUCUAGCUCAUGAACUCCCUGUCCACUGCUGUGUUUGUUACCUGCUUAAGAUAGGUACAACUGUUUAUGAGUGGUUUCCAAAAAGAGAAAACUCUUUGGGCUUUGUAAAUAUAUAUAUAUAUUUACAAACAUAUCUAUAUAUGUUGAAGAGGUGAUUGUUCUUUAAAUUCACCACAAACUCAGAAGGAUCCCUUGACUCAAAAAUGGAUUUUUGGAUAAAACACCAGAGAAGGGAGUAAUGAGAUGUGAAUCCUUGUCACACCAUUACCUUUCUGGAGUCACUGAACUUGACUGUGCUUUCUUCUCAGUGUAAAUGUUUACCUUGCUGUGCAUUGCUGACACAAUCACUGAAGCUAAGGGGAAAGGCCUCAUCACUUCUGCAAACUUGAGACCAAAGCCUGCCUUGUCCAACCUUGACAUCAGGGCUUCCACUGCACUCACCAGCCCAAGAAAUCAGGGCAGUCUCUGGCUAAAUGAAGUUUGUAAGUGUGUGAGGGGCUUUUUAUUCAGUCACUUCAAUGGGUGUUGGGAUGGAGCAGAGUUGAGCUAGUUUA